CCCACUGCGCGUACCCACCUUUAGCGCCCGGCGCCCGGGGAAGCUCACCCAAUGGAGGCAUUGAGCCGCUUCUGCCGCACUCCGCAAGCUCCCGGACAGAGUCUUCCCCAAACGUGGGGGCUCGGUUAAAGAAAACCGAGGGACCAUGGUUAUUCCAGCAUCAGCCAGCAAAGAGAAAAUGGCGGGAGAGUGGAAAGGAACUAAGACCUUCUGCCCAUUCAUAUCUAAACAAAAGAAUAAAUGCUGGAAGGAUGAGCAAGAAACAGUUCCAGGCUGAGGGAAACAACCGAGCAGACGAUAACCUGGAAUUAGAGAGAUUUUCAAUCUUUUCAAGGAUUUUCAACCUUUUUAUAUAUUUGAAAACUGUUUAACCUUAUAAAUCAAU
RNAcentral lists this long non-coding RNA (385 nucleotides) under Rattus norvegicus (Norway rat). RNAcentral describes it as "long non-coding RNA NONRATT024390". The record is from RNAcentral. Lineage: Eukaryota; Metazoa; Chordata; Mammalia; Rodentia; Muridae.